RNAcentral lists this long non-coding RNA (208 nucleotides) under Elaeis guineensis (African oil palm). RNAcentral describes it as "long non-coding RNA (EGUI_LNC080627)". The record is from RNAcentral. Lineage: Eukaryota; Viridiplantae; Streptophyta; Magnoliopsida; Arecales; Arecaceae.
AGUGGUGGAGCCACGCAGAAUCUGUCGCAGGAGGUGGAGCAGAGUCGUGGCCAUUACUGUGGCCUGUCAGGGAGUCCAGGCCUGUCGGUCAAAGCUCGGUCGAAGCGCCUGGCGGAGAGAGGUAGCUAUCCAUCUGAGAGGAGCUCGGAUGUUACUGGUGAGCCUUCUACCGUUGGGUGCCUUGAGCGUUAACACUACAGACGAGGGU